This is a long non-coding RNA of Photinus pyralis (common eastern firefly), 538 nucleotides long. RefSeq lists it as uncharacterized. The record is from RefSeq and is a predicted model, not a curated record. The transcript has 2 exons. Lineage: Eukaryota; Metazoa; Arthropoda; Insecta; Coleoptera; Lampyridae.
ACCUAACUAAAAGAAAGCGAAAUGAGUGAAUCCUUUAUUUAGCAAUUCGUGUAGGUGUCUUUCCGAAACAGUACUGUGAAAUAGUAAUGGAAGCAGAGAGAGACAGCAAGAGAGCGCUUUUGUUCCCUAGUCCUUUAUAAAUUCGUGAGAUCCAUUUAAAGUUAGUCUCCAGAGCUUCACUACGCCAUGAAGUUAGCCUUCUUACUUAUUCCCUUCCUGGUCGUCUUCGUCCUUUACGAGGGCAAGGCCGACGGCACCGAUGGAUCGGACAAUUCCGAAGGCGCCUCUGAGGAUCGUAAUGUUACGAAGGAAGGGGUUGAUAUAAUGGUACGAGUUAUAAAGUGGGCCAUGGAAAGACACGCUAAUGCUACCAACACAAGCAGCUCAGAUUCGCAAUAAUUAGAUUUAGCUAUGAGUAUUUUAAAAUAAACGUUAGAGCAGAAUUGUCUCAAACUUUUUGAGGCACUUUUACCUUCAAAAAAUCUAAAUUGAGUGUACCUCUCCUUUUAUUAAUAAAAUAAAAUAGCAUGUAAUCGCA